This 465-nucleotide ribosomal RNA is filed under the name Vreelandella stevensii. RNAcentral's name for it is "partial 16S ribosomal RNA". It matches the Rfam family "Bacterial small subunit ribosomal RNA", at positions 338 to 795 of the family's 1533-position model. The record is from RNAcentral. Lineage: Bacteria; Pseudomonadati; Pseudomonadota; Gammaproteobacteria; Oceanospirillales; Halomonadaceae.
CCUACGGGUGGCUGCAGUGGGGAAUAUUGGACAAUGGGCGAAAGCCUGAUCCAGCCAUGCCGCGUGUGUGAAGAAGGCCUUCGGGUUGUAAAGCACUUUCAGUGGGGAAGAAAGCCUUGGGGCUAGUACCCUCGAGGAAGGACAUCACCCACAGAAGAAGCACCGGCUAACUCCGUGCCAGCAGCCGCGGUAAUACGGAGGGUGCGAGCGUUAAUCGGAAUUACUGGGCGUAAAGCGCGCGUAGGCGGUCUGAUAAGCCGGUUGUGAAAGCCCCGGGCUCAACCUGGGAACGGCAUCCGGAACUGUCAGGCUAGAGUGCAGGAGAGGAAGGUAGAAUUCCCGGUGUAGCGGUGAAAUGCGUAGAGAUCGGGAGGAAUACCAGUGGCGAAGGCGGCCUUCUGGACUGACACUGACGCUGAGGUGCGAAAGCGUGGGUAGCAAACAGGAUUAGAUACCCUGGUAGUC